RNAcentral lists this ribosomal RNA (245 nucleotides) under uncultured bacterium. Its description in RNAcentral is "partial small subunit ribosomal RNA". It matches the Rfam family "Bacterial small subunit ribosomal RNA", at positions 26 to 285 of the family's 1533-position model. The record is from RNAcentral.
AGAAUCAACGCUGGCGGCGCGCCUAACACAUGCAAGUCGAACGAGAAAGUGGAGCAAUCCAUAAGUAAAGUGGCGUACGGGUGAGUAACACGUGGAUCAUCUGCCCUUUUGUGGGGAAUACCGCUGGGAAACCGGCGACAAUACCGCAUAAGCCCGAGAGGGGAAAGCAGCAAUGCGCAGAAGGAGGAGUCCGCGGUCGAUUAGUUAGUUGGCAGGGUAAAGGCCUACCAAGACUGUGAUCGAUA